RNAcentral lists this transfer RNA (71 nucleotides) under Ictidomys tridecemlineatus (thirteen-lined ground squirrel). Its description in RNAcentral is "Spermophilus tridecemlineatus (thirteen-lined ground squirrel) tRNA". It matches the Rfam family "tRNA". From Rfam's summary of the family: Transfer RNA (tRNA) molecules are approximately 80 nucleotides in length. Their secondary structure includes four short double-helical elements and three loops (D, anti-codon, and T loops). Lineage: Eukaryota; Metazoa; Chordata; Mammalia; Rodentia; Sciuridae. The record is from Rfam by way of RNAcentral.
AGGGAUGUAGCUCAGUGAUAGAGUACUUGCCUAGCAUGUAUGAGUCCUGGGUUCAAUCCCUAUCACCACCA